CUACACAUGCAGCCGAGCGGUAGAAUCUUUUCGGAGAUUUGAGAGCGGCGUACGGGUGAGGAACACGUGUGCAACCUGCCUUUAUCUGGGAGAUAGCCUUUCGAAAGGAAGAUUAAUAUCCCAUAAUAUAUUGAGUGGCAUCACUUAAUAUUGAAAGCUCCGGCGGAUAGAGAUGGGCACGCGCAAGAUUAGAUAGUUGGUGAGGUAACGGCUCACCAAGUCUACGAUCUUUAGGGGGCCUGAGAGGGUGAUCCCCCACACUGGUACUGAGACACGGACCAGACUCCUACGGGAGGCAGCAGUGAGGAAUAUUGGACAAUGGGUGCAAGCCUGAUCCAGCCAUCCCGCGUGAAGGAUUAAGGUCCUAUGGAUUGUAAACUUCUUUUAUACAGGGAUAAACCUCUCCUCGUGAGGAGAGCUGAAGGUACUGUAUGAAUAAGCACCGGCUAACUCCGUGCCAGCAGCCGCGGUAAUACGGAGGGUGCAAGCGUUAUCCGGAUUUAUUGGGUUUAAGGGUCCGUAGGCGGGUUCGUAAAGUCAGUGGUGAAAUCCUACAGC
RNAcentral lists this ribosomal RNA (558 nucleotides) under bacterium het-w-23. RNAcentral describes it as "bacterial SSU rRNA". It matches the Rfam family "Bacterial small subunit ribosomal RNA", at positions 49 to 608 of the family's 1533-position model. The record is from RNAcentral.